UGGGGGAUAUUGGACAAUGGGCGAAAGCCUGAUCCAGCCAUGCCGCGUGUGUGAAGAAGGUCUUCGGAUUGUAAAGCACUUUAAGUUGGGAGGAAGGGCAUUAACCUAAUACGUUAGUGUUUUGACGUUACCGACAGAAUAAGCACCGGCUAACUCUGUGCCAGCAGCCGCGGUAAUACAGAGGGUGCAAGCGUUAAUCGGAAUUACUGGGCGUAAAGCGCGCGUAGGUGGUUUGUUAAGUUGGAUGUGAAAUCCCCGGGCUCAUCCUGGGAACUGCAUUCAAAACUGACUGACUAGAGUAUGGUAGAGGGUGGUGGAAUUUCCUGUGUAGCGGUGAAAUGAGUAGAUAUAGGAAGGAACACCAGUGGCGAAGGCGACCACCUGGACUAAUACUGACACUGAGGUGCGAAAGCGUGGGGAGCAAACA
Molecule: ribosomal RNA, 427 nt
Filed under: uncultured bacterium
Lineage: Bacteria
Description: partial 16S ribosomal RNA
Rfam family: Bacterial small subunit ribosomal RNA
Source: RNAcentral